UGGCUUGUGAUGAUAAUUUUCUUAUCUUAGCGGAUUUCAGUGAGAUUGGAAAUUAUAUCUUUCUAUCAAUGAUCUGAUUGUUACACACACUGAAGCCU
RNAcentral lists this small nucleolar RNA (98 nucleotides) under Erythranthe guttata (spotted monkey flower). RNAcentral describes it as "Mimulus guttatus (spotted monkey flower) Small nucleolar RNA R11/Z151". It matches the Rfam family "Small nucleolar RNA R11/Z151". From Rfam's summary of the family: snoR11/Z151 is a member of the C/D class of snoRNA which contain the C (UGAUGA) and D (CUGA) box motifs. Most of the members of the box C/D family function in directing site-specific 2'-O-methylation of substrate RNAs. The record is from Rfam by way of RNAcentral. Lineage: Eukaryota; Viridiplantae; Streptophyta; Magnoliopsida; Lamiales; Phrymaceae.